This 515-nucleotide ribosomal RNA is filed under the name uncultured bacterium. RNAcentral's name for it is "partial 16S ribosomal RNA". It matches the Rfam family "Bacterial small subunit ribosomal RNA", at positions 28 to 523 of the family's 1533-position model. The record is from RNAcentral.
GAUGAACGCUGGCGGCGUGCCUAAUACAUGCAAGUCGAGCGAAUGGAUUAAGAGCUUGCUCUUAUGAAGUUAGCGGCGGACGGGUGAGUAACACGUUGGUAACCUGCCCAUAAGACUAGGAUAACUCCGGGAAACCGGGGCUAAUACCGGAUAACAUUUUGAACCGCCUGGUUCGAAAUUGAAAGGCGGCUUCGUCUGUCACUUAUGGAUGGACCCGCGUCGCAUUAGCGAGUUGGUGGGGUAACGGCUCACGAAGGCAACGAUGCGUAGCCGACCUGAGAGGGAGAUCGGCCACACUGGGACUGAGACACGGCCCAGACUCCUACGGGAGGCAGCAGUAGGGAAUCUUCCGCAAUGGACGAAAGUCUGACGGAGCAACGCCGCGUGAGUGAUGAAGGCUUUCGGGUCGUAAAACUCUGUUGUUAGGGAAGAACAAGUGCUAGUUGAAUAAGCUGGCACCUUGACGGUACCUAACCAGAAAGCCACGGCUAACUACGUGCCAGCCGCCGCCGUAA